Molecule: ribosomal RNA, 253 nt
Filed under: uncultured bacterium
Lineage: Bacteria
Description: partial 16S ribosomal RNA
Rfam family: Bacterial small subunit ribosomal RNA
Source: RNAcentral
UACGGGGGGGGCAAGCGUUGUUCGGAAUUACUGGGCGUAAAGGGCUCGUAGGCGGCCAACUAAGUCAGACGUGAAAUCCCUCGGCUUAACCGGGGAACUGCGUCUGAUACUGGUUGGCUUGAAUCCGGGAGAGGGAUGUGGAAUUCCAGGUGUAGCGGUGAAAUGCGUAGAUAUCAGGAGGAACACCGGUGGUGUAGACGGCUUUCUGGACCGUAACUGACGCUGAGACACGAAAGCGUGGGUAGCAAACAGG